This 739-nucleotide ribosomal RNA is filed under the name uncultured bacterium. RNAcentral's name for it is "bacterial SSU rRNA". It matches the Rfam family "Bacterial small subunit ribosomal RNA", at positions 56 to 809 of the family's 1533-position model. The record is from RNAcentral.
UGCAGUCGAACGAGAACCUUUUUGUAGGUAACUACGGAGAGAUUUCUAGUGGCGAACGGGUGAGUAACACGUGAGUAACCUGCCCCAAAGACCGGGAUAGCCCAUGGAAACGUGGAUUAAUACCGGAUACCCUCACGGAAUCGCAUGGUUCUGUGAGGAAAUGCUCCGGCGCUUUGGGAUGGACUCGCGGCCUAUCAGCUAGUUGGUGAGGUAACGGCUCACCAAGGCACUGACGGGUAGCUGGUCUGAGAGGACGAACAGCCACACUGGGACUGAGACACGGCCCAGACUCCUACGGGAGGCAGCAGCAGGGAAUAUUGCACAAUGGGCGCAAGCCUGAUGCAGCGACGCCGCGUGAGGGAUGAAGGCUUUCGGGUCGUAAACCUCUUUCAGUGGGGAAGAAGCGCAAGUGACGGUACCCACACAAGAAGGCCCGGCCAACUACGUGCCAGCAGCCGCGGUAAUACGUAGGGGCCAAGCGUUAUCCGGAUUUAUUGGGCGUAAAGAGCUCGUAGGCGGUUUGGUAAGUCGGUCGUGAAAGUCCGAGGCUCAACCUCGGAAUGCCGGUCGAUACUGCCAUGACUAGGGUUCGGUAGAGGAGAGUGGAAUUCUCGGUGUAGCGGUGAAAUGCGCAGAUAUCGAGAGGAACCCAGUAGCGAGGCGGCUCUCUGGGCGAUACGACGCUGAGGAGCGAAGCGUGGGAGCAACAGGAUAGAUACCUGGUAGUCACGCGUAACGU